UACGUAGGGACCAAGCGUUUGUUCGGAUUUACUGGGCGUAAAGGGCGCGUAGGCGGCAAUUCAAGUCAUCUGUGAAAUCUCCGGGCUUAACCCGGAACGGUCAGGUGAUACUGUUUUGCUAGAGUGCGGAAGGGCAAUCGGAAUUCUCGGUGUAGCGGUGAAAUGCGUAGAUAUCGAGAGGAACACCAGAGGUGAAGACGGGUUGCUGGGCCGACACUGACGCUGACAGCGCGAAAGCCAGGGGAGCAAACGGG
This 254-nucleotide ribosomal RNA is filed under the name uncultured bacterium. Its description in RNAcentral is "partial 16S ribosomal RNA". It matches the Rfam family "Bacterial small subunit ribosomal RNA", at positions 524 to 776 of the family's 1533-position model. The record is from RNAcentral.